GUAGGGAAUAUUGGGCAAUGGAGGCAACUCUGACCCAGCCAUGCCGCGUGCAGGAUGACGGCCCUCUGGGUUGUAAACUGCUUUUAUACGGGAAGAAAAAAUACUACGUGUAGUAUACUGACGGUACCGUAAGAAUAAGGAUCGGCUAACUUCGUGCCAGCAGCCGCGGUAAUACGGAGGCUCCAAACGUUGUCCGGAUUUAUUGGGUUUAAAGGGUGCGUAGGCUGAUCUUUAAGUCAGUGGUGAAAGCCUGCAGCUUAACUGUAGAAUUGCCAUUGAAACUGAAGAUCUUGAAUUUGGUUAAAGUAGGCGGAAUGUAUCAUGUAGCGGUGAAAUGCUUAGAUAUGAUACAGAACACCGAUAGCGAAGGCAGCUUGCUGAACCAUUAUUGACGCUGAGGCACGAAAGCGUGGGGAGCGAACAGGAUUAGAUACCCGGUUAGUCC
RNAcentral lists this ribosomal RNA (445 nucleotides) under uncultured bacterium. RNAcentral describes it as "partial 16S ribosomal RNA". It matches the Rfam family "Bacterial small subunit ribosomal RNA", at positions 354 to 796 of the family's 1533-position model. The record is from RNAcentral.